GACGAACGCUGGCGGCGUGCUUAACACAUGCAAGUCGAACGGUAAGGCCCUUCGGGGUACACGAGUGGCGAACGGGUGAGUAACACGUGGGUGAUCUGCCCUGCACUUCGGGAUAAGCCUGGGAAACUGGGUCUAAUACCGGAUAGGACCACUGCCUGCAUGGGUGGUGGUGGAAAGCUUUUGCGGUGUGGGAUGGGCCCGCGGCCUAUCAGCUUGGUGGUGGGGUGAUGGCCUACCAAGGCGACGACGGGUAGCCGGCCUGAGAGGGUGACCGGCCACACUGGGACUGAGAUACGGCCCAGACUCCUACGGGAGGCAGCAGUGGGGAAUAUUGCACAAUGGGCGCAAGCCUGAUGCAGCGACGCCGCGUGAGGGAUGACGGCCUUCGGGUUGUAAAUCUCUUUCAGCACCGACGAAGCGCAAGUGACGGUAGGUGCAGAAGAAGGACCGGCCAACUACGUGCCAGCCGCCGCGGUAA
Molecule: ribosomal RNA, 478 nt
Filed under: uncultured bacterium
Lineage: Bacteria
Description: partial 16S ribosomal RNA
Rfam family: Bacterial small subunit ribosomal RNA
Source: RNAcentral